CCUACGGGAUGCAGCAGUAGGGAAUCUUCCGCAAUGGACGAAAGUCUGACGGAGCAACGCCGCGUGAGUGAUGAAGGCUUUCGGGUCGUAAAACCCUGUUGUUAGGGAAGAACAAGUGCUAGUUGAAUAAGCUGGCACCUUGACGGUACCUAACCAGAAAGCCACGGCUAACUACGUGCCAGCAGCCGCGGUAAUACGUAGGUGACAAGCGUUAUCCGGAAUUAUUGGGCGUAAAGCGCGCGCAGGUGGUUUCUUAAGUCUGAUGUGAAAGCCCACGGCUCAACCGUGGAGGGUCAUUGGAAACUGGGAGACUUGAGUGCAGAAGAGGAAAGUGGAAUUCCAUGUGUAGCGGUGAAAUGCGUAGAGAUAUGGAGGAAUACCGGUGGCGAGGGCGGCCCCCUGGACAAAGACUGACGCUCAGGUGCGAAAGCGUGGGGAGCGAACAGGAUUAGAUACCCGCGUAGUC
Molecule: ribosomal RNA, 466 nt
Filed under: uncultured bacterium
Lineage: Bacteria
Description: bacterial SSU rRNA
Rfam family: Bacterial small subunit ribosomal RNA
Source: RNAcentral